UACAGAGGUCUCAAGCGUUGUUCGGAUUCAUUGGGCGUAAAGGGUGUGUAGGUGGCGCUGUAAGUCGGGUGUGAAAUCUCGGGGCUUAACUCCGAAACUGCAUUCGAUACUGCGGUGCUUGAGGACUGGAGAGGAGACUGGAAUUCAUGGUGUAGCAGUGAAAUGCGUAGAGAUCAUGAGGAAGACCAGUGGCGAAGGCGGGUCUCUGGACAGUUCCUGACACUGAGGAGCGAAAGCGUGGGGAGCGAACAGG
This 253-nucleotide ribosomal RNA is filed under the name uncultured bacterium. RNAcentral's name for it is "partial 16S ribosomal RNA". It matches the Rfam family "Bacterial small subunit ribosomal RNA", at positions 524 to 776 of the family's 1533-position model. The record is from RNAcentral.